GCCAGGUGUGGUGGUGCACACCUGUAAUUCCAGCAACUUGGGAGGCAGAGGCAAGAGGAUCACAAGUUCAAGGCCAGGCUCGACAACUUACAAGACCCUGACUCAA
RNAcentral lists this small RNA (106 nucleotides) under Marmota monax (woodchuck). The record is from RNAcentral. Lineage: Eukaryota; Metazoa; Chordata; Mammalia; Rodentia; Sciuridae.